GACGAACGCUGGCGGCGUGCUUAACACAUGCAAGUCGAACGGUAAGGCCCUUCGGGGUACACGAGUGGCGAACGGGUGAGUAACACGUGGGUGAUCUGCCCUGCACUUCGGGAUAAGCCUGGGAAACUGGGUCUAAUACCGGAUAGGACCCUGGGAUGCAUGUCCUGGGGUGGAAAGCUUUUGCGGUGUGGGAUGGGCCCGCGGCCUAUCAGCUUGUUGGUGGGGUGAUGGCCUACCAAGGCGACGACGGGUAGCAGGCCUGAGAGGGUGACCGGCCACACUGGGACUGAGAUACGGCCCAGACUCCCACGGGAGGCAGCAGUGGGGAAUAUUGCACAAUGGGCGCAAGCCUGAUGCAGCGACGCCGCGUGAGGGAUGACGGCCUUCGGGUUGUAAACCUCUUUCAGCACCGACGAAGCGCAAGUGACGGUAGGUGCAGAAGAAGGACCGGCCAACUACGUGCCAGCCGCCGCAGUAA
RNAcentral lists this ribosomal RNA (478 nucleotides) under uncultured bacterium. RNAcentral describes it as "partial 16S ribosomal RNA". It matches the Rfam family "Bacterial small subunit ribosomal RNA", at positions 28 to 523 of the family's 1533-position model. The record is from RNAcentral.